This 464-nucleotide ribosomal RNA is filed under the name Streptococcus australis. Its description in RNAcentral is "bacterial SSU rRNA". It matches the Rfam family "Bacterial small subunit ribosomal RNA", at positions 28 to 474 of the family's 1533-position model. Lineage: Bacteria; Bacillati; Bacillota; Bacilli; Lactobacillales; Streptococcaceae. The record is from RNAcentral.
GAUGAACGCUGGCGGCGUGCCUAAUACAUGCAAGUAGAACGCUGAAGGAAGGAGCUUGCUCUUUCCGGAUGAGUUGCGAACGGGUGAGUAACGCGUAGGUAACCUGCCAGGUAGCGGGGGAUAACUAUUGGAAACGAUAGCUAAUACCGCAUAACAGUAGAUAUUGCAUGAUAUCUGCUUGAAAGGGGCAAUUGCUCCACUACCAGAUGGACCUGCGUUGUAUUAGCUAGUUGGUGAGGUAACGGCUCACCAAGGCGACGAUACAUAGCCGACCUGAGAGGGUGAUCGGCCACACUGGGACUGAGACACGGCCCAGACUCCUACGGGAGGCAGCAGUAGGGAAUCUUCGGCAAUGGGGGGAACCCUGACCGAGCAACGCCGCGUGAGUGAAGAAGGUUUUCGGAUCGUAAAGCUCUGUUGUAAGAGAAGAACGAGUGUGAGAGUGGAAAGUUCACACUGUGACG